This 265-nucleotide signal recognition particle RNA is filed under the name Clostridia bacterium. RNAcentral describes it as "signal recognition particle sRNA large type". It matches the Rfam family "Bacterial large signal recognition particle RNA". From Rfam's summary of the family: The signal recognition particle (SRP) is a universally conserved ribonucleoprotein involved in the co-translational targeting of proteins to membranes. Lineage: Bacteria; Bacillati; Bacillota; Clostridia. The record is from RNAcentral.
UCAUACUAACCGGGGAGUUAGCGGUGCCCUGAACCUGAGAUCCGCUACAGCAGGGGUGAAUGGCAUUAUGAGGCCGUUUGCUGUGCCGCCGGGCGGAGAAAGAACCCGUUGAGGGAUGGGUCCUGCACAAUUUGCGUCCGUGAACCAUGUCAGAUGGGGAACCAAGCAGCAUUAAGCGGAAGAGCAGAUGUGUUGCGGGAGUGCCUGUCCGGAAGAGGAAGGCUUCGUUUUCGGGUGUAGCAGGCGUUCGACUUUUGCUGUAUGA